GACGAACCGUGCGAACGUUGUUCGGAAUCACUGGGCAUAAAGGGCGCGUAGGCGGGCCGUAAAGUCAGGGGUGAAAUCCUCCAGCUUAACUGGAGAACUGCCUUUGAUACUGACGGUCUCGAGUGAGGUAGGGGUGUGCGGAACUGAUGGUGGAGCGGUGAAAUGUGUUGAUAUCAUCAGGAACUCCGGUGGCGAAAGCGGCACACUGGACCUUUACUGACGCUGAGGCGCGAAAGCCAGGGGAGCAAACGGG
RNAcentral lists this ribosomal RNA (253 nucleotides) under uncultured bacterium. Its description in RNAcentral is "partial 16S ribosomal RNA". It matches the Rfam family "Bacterial small subunit ribosomal RNA", at positions 524 to 776 of the family's 1533-position model. The record is from RNAcentral.